AUCUGCUUUGCAGCAUCAUAAAUGUUGAAGUAAUUCAAGAAAAGCUCUACAUCUUUUCUCUUGUAUACCCGUGAUCCGGACACCGCUGUUACGUAGAAAAUAGAAUUUAGUGAAGCAAAAAAAAUUAAAAACAAGGAGUCCAUAUCAUUGUGCCUUUCAAUAUGAAUGUUGUUUUGGGUUACAAAGUCUACAAAAAAAGAGCUAUAAGUAGAUUUCUGUUGCUGUUUCUUGUAACCUUCAGCUAGAGUCCUUUGCUAUAGAUGUAUGAACGUGCUCCCUAUCAUAUUCUACUGUAGUGUAACACUGAGAGAGUGAGGAUCUGGAUCCGCAUACAUUAUACCUGUACAUAUACCCAUACUUACUUCAAUAUAUAUUUUUCUAUUACAAAUUGAUCCACUCGUUCCUCUAUCAGUGAACCUCAACAAUAAACGUAGAACAAUUUCCACAUUUCUAUUUAACUAAUAAUUAUAAUCUAAAUCCAGUUGAAUUUGAUGCAAGAUAUUUCCUUAUUGAUAUGCUCCCACUGCAUAUCCUCAUUGAUGAUUCUGUUUGGUCUAUUGCACGUCUGUCUACUAUUCCACGAGAAUUAGUUGUGGCACGUUAUUCGAGCAUUAAAGGGAGACGAAAAUUGUAUUCCAAUAGCUAAGUCGUGUUUCAAUCCUGCUAUGAUGAUCACGAUCCUGGUCAUCGUUUCAUAUUUCAAUCAUAGUCUGAUCUUAUCAAUCGAGAAGAAUUUCUAAUGUUUUCAGAAGAUUGUUCGGAGAUUAUCCGCUGUAUUGAACACAAGUCACCCGUGUGUCUGCUGACUGCGAGUCAGCUACUAAUCGGGUCCUCCGUGCAGCUUUAAUCAGCACGAUUCUCAUGUGCGCGAUUGUACCGACUUUCAUGACCGCGCACAUCUUCAAAAAAGCUAACUAACCGACUGAUAACAGUAGUAUCAAUUAGACCAAACAAACGCAUUGUAUCGAGCGGUACCGAGUGAUUGUAUCAGGUUGUAACAGACGUAGGUUCGAUUAAAUUUCUCAUUAUUUUUCUUUAUUUGACCAAAUUUUUCUACGUUACAAUCCAAUGUACAAACUAUCUAAUCGAACCUCUGCAAUCAAUUUUAUUGUUCUUCUUCGUCGACCGCUGCCUCCAAGUUUGUCCAACUUCUGUCAAGCUGCAUCAACCAAAGAUGUUUAAUGGGCGAGAUCCUAAGCAAUUGAAUUAUAUUUUAAUAAAUAAUUAAUUUACUGCUAAGCAACGAACUUUCGCCUGUAUCUUGAGAACCAAAACAAUCAUCGAAACAGGACAAAAGGAAAUGAUAGUCAGAUUCGCUAGCUACGAAAACCGUAUUCGUCUCUCAACAUAAUCGCCGUUGACUUCGAUGUACCUUUGCCAAAGCGUGGCAAGUUUUCUUGUUGAAGUAACUGCUUCAAGAAAAAUUCUACAUCUUUAUUUAUGUGUAAAAAAAUAUUCUAAACAAGGAGAGGUGCAUAUUAUUGUACCCUUGAAUAUACAUUAUGUUUUGGGUUGCAAGGUCUAGGAACAAAGGAACUAAUCAACAGAUUUCUAUUUAUGUUCCUUGUAGCCCUUAGCUAAAGCUAUAAGGUUAACUUUUUUGAUAAUGUUCUUUUGCUAUAAAUAUAUGAACGUGCUCCCUAUCGAUUCCAUUGUCUCAUAACAUUAAGAGAGUAAGAAUCUGGAUCAACAUAAACUUAUACCUUUAUUUAUUUCAAUAUAUUUUUCUAUUACAAAUUCAUCGACUCGUUCUUCUAUCAGUCGACCCUAACAUUUCUCAUUCCGUCAAUGCAAGAUCCCGUCAACCUACUCUCGACAAAGCAAGUCACUGCUAUCUUGACUCGUCGUCCAACUGGAAACGAAUAUCCUCGAGUGUCCUUUUCAAUUCUGCGAAGAAAUGGAAAUCAUUGAAUCUGGGAAUUUCAGUCUCGCAAAGGACAUCGAGCGCCGUGCGUGCGAUCGAGCGUUGCGCUGCGACAGUGUCGUCUCGGUUGAGUUGCGAACCUGACGUACGCGUCUUCGCAAAUGCUUCGUGGUUUUCACAUCACGACAUACGUUGCCAGUAAAAUGACGAUGAAUUUCCGUAAAUGUGUAAGAUUUCUUCCUGUUAAAAACUUCCUCUCAUUGUACGUUGCCUGAAUCUCGUUCACAUCUCACCCAUACUCAACCUCGCUCUAAACGAUACUGUUCGUCAUUGCGUUAAAUAAACUUAUUGAUAAACUAAAGGUGAACUUAUUUAUAAAGGACGAAUGUAGCUGUAAAACGAGUGUUCACGCAGAGGUGUAGCUCGUUUCGUUUUGGGGACAGACGAAGCACGUUCAUUAUCGACACUCGUAUAAUUGCGAUCGUGAGUUCCAAUAAGAAUCUUUUCAUAUUUCGCUCAAAGAAUUGGAAAGACGAAAUUGGGUCGAAAAUGACCGAAAGAUCAUAGCAUACGUCGAAGCUCUACUUGAGUAUUUAGUGGAAAACAUUUGAAACAGCGCGUCUUUACAGAUGUAGAUAACAAUGAUUCGCUAAUGAUUCAGGUGGAGAUUAGAGGUAUCACUUAACGACGUAGCAAUUUGUCGCGAGAAUAAUGAUACGUUGCCGAUACAAGGCGACACUGGCCAGCUGAAAUGGCUUACGUAGCCACCCUAAAUAACCAAACGUAAUUACAGUUUCCGAAUUAAUAGAUAGUAGCAACACGGGGCGAGUCAAACAUCGUGCUUUGACUAGCUGCAAACGCCUCAACGAGAACAAUUUGCAUUAUCUACAUCGCGCUGUCAAUUGGAUUUUGAAUAUCGGAACGAACGCUUCUCCACGCACGUUUCCCUAUUCUGAUUCCAUUAAUAUUUCCUGUGAAUUAUCAGCUUGAUGUUUCCCAUUGAUAGCGCUUGUUAUAUUUGUACAAAGAUUAAUCAGGUAAUCCUCAGACAUUUUGAAAUUAACAAGAAACGAUGGUGUGCUAAUAUUCCACGUCAGAGCCUUCUUACAGGAUUAAUUUAUUGCAAUUAUUGUUAGUGCGACUUUACGAGUAUAAGUGAAGUAUAAGCUGUGCGUGAUUAUAACUAGUUGGCUAAUGAAACGAGUGGAAUCUUGCAAAUGAAUUUUAAAAAUUACAAGUUAUUUUUUAUGUAAUAUUGUAAAAUUAUGAGAGAGAAAAGUAUACAGUUUGUAACUCGUUAAUUCACUGAUAUUACUAGUUGGAAAAUGAUGGUGUAAAAAGGUUCAGCAGUAAACUGUUUUUCUAAAUAAUAAGCCACAUGAUAAAAAGAUAGAUUAUAGGAUUUGUAGGGAAAAUAAUCUUCUUCUCAAUUAACGUCAUAUUUGUACAAGGAUAAGAUAAUUUUAUCAGCAGCUGAAGAAAAAAUUUUGUAUAUAAAACGAUCAAUAUAUAUCACUUUAAAUACGUAACCGUGUGGUGAACGUUACCUCCGAUAUAAACAAGACAGUGAAAGAAAUUGGAACAAAAAAAAAAAAAAAAGAAUACAAA
This is a long non-coding RNA of Bombus huntii, 3472 nucleotides long. RefSeq lists it as uncharacterized. NCBI's taxonomy places the organism in Eukaryota, Metazoa, Arthropoda, Insecta, Hymenoptera, Apidae. The record is from RefSeq and is a predicted model, not a curated record. The transcript is spliced from 2 exons.